Molecule: small nuclear RNA, 107 nt
Organism: Otolemur garnettii (small-eared galago)
Lineage: Eukaryota; Metazoa; Chordata; Mammalia; Primates; Galagidae
Source: Ensembl
GUGCUCACUUCGGCAGCACAUAUACUAAAAUUGGAACAAUGCAGAGAAGAGUAGCAUGGCUCCUGCGCAAGGAUAACACGCAAAUUCGUGAAGCGUUCCAUACUUUA